This 564-nucleotide ribosomal RNA is filed under the name Porosira glacialis. RNAcentral describes it as "LSU rRNA". It matches the Rfam family "Eukaryotic large subunit ribosomal RNA", at positions 74 to 630 of the family's 3401-position model. The record is from RNAcentral. Lineage: Eukaryota; Bacillariophyta; Thalassiosirophyceae; Thalassiosirales; Thalassiosiraceae.
AUACACCUAGUAAGGGCGACUGAACAGUGUGAAGCUCACCGUGUGAAUCUGUGUAACCUUGACUCCGGUCUUUUGGUGCACCGAAUUGUGGUCUGAAGAAGUAUUGUCGGUUGCAGUCCCGGACCAAGUCCCUUGGAAAAGGGCAGCUGAGAGGGUGAGACUCCCGUUCUUGUCUGGGAACUGUGUGCCAUGGCACAUGCUUUCAACGAGUCGUGUUGAUUGGGAUUUCAGCACAAAUUCUGUGGUAAAUGCCACAUAAAGCUAAAUAUUGGUGGGAGACCGAUAGCGCACAAGUACCGUGAGGGAAAGAUGCAAAGAACUUUGAAAAGAGAGUUAAAGAGUACCUGAAAUUGCUGAAAGGGAAGCGAAGGAAACCAGUGCCGUAGUGUUGUCAUACUUCCCCUUCUGCUUGCGGAUGGGGCGCUGUGACAGUACGUGGAUCAGCAUCAACUUUACCUUGGACCAAAUGGGUGAUUGGUAGACAGCCCCUUUCGAGGGGCCAGUGCUAGUCAUUUCUGGUCUGAGCGAGGUUGAGGUCAGUCAUUCUGUGCUCGUGAUGCUGAU